RNAcentral lists this ribosomal RNA (196 nucleotides) under uncultured bacterium. RNAcentral's name for it is "partial 16S ribosomal RNA". It matches the Rfam family "Bacterial small subunit ribosomal RNA", at positions 1305 to 1500 of the family's 1533-position model. The record is from RNAcentral.
CUGCAACUCGCCUGCGUCAAGUUGGAAUUGCUAGUAAUCGCGGAUCAGCAUGCCGCGGUGAAUACGUUCCCGGGCCUUGUACACACCGCCCGUCACACCAUGAGAGUCGGGAACACCCGAAGUCCGUAGUCUAACCGCAAGGAGGGCGCGGCCGAAGGUGGGUUCGAUAAUUGGGGUGAAGUCGUAACAAGGUAGC